GUUAAGAAUCAAUAAUCUAUCAUAGAUUGAUAAUGAAGUGGACUGCAAUAUAUUCUUUCAUUUUAGGUUCCGAAAAUACCAUGAUAACACAAUUGAAUGUAUAAUGAAAGGGAUAACAUAUUCUUUCAUUUUGGGUUCUUUGGUGUUUGUUCAUUCCUCGUGACAUCUGUUGCAACAUUUCUGGGUUUCUUUGGUGUUGUGUCUUUCCAAUGAACCAGCUUUGUACUCUGCUUGUGCUUUUGGGGUUCCUCUUUUAUUAAGGGAUUAUCUGCUUGUCGGAGUGGUUUAUUUUGGAUUCCAACUUGGUCUUUUGAUCCUGAUGGUUUCCUUUAUGAUGCUCUCGGGUAUUUAUUUCUAUCCUCGCCGGAAAGGAAAAUGUGCACAGCGGGAUGUAACGCAAAGGGUUUUACGUUUUGGACGAAUUGCUGACCUAUCAGUGCAAAAUUUUCCUUUUGAUCUGAGUUUCGCUAUAAGUUGUUGUGUAUUUAUGUUAGUGUUAAUUUUCUUUCUAUGUGUUUUGCGUUUCAGAUUUCUUGGUUUGCUGUCUUCCUUUUUCUGUUGACGAUGAGGCGGUGGAGAUUUCCUUCCAGUCGCCGCUCUCUUUUGGGUCAACGACCGUCUUUGAUUUUCUGCUGCAUCGGCUACGUGUCAUCUUUUGGUCAGCACAUGGUCUGCCAAUGGGGUCCACGUUACAUCACCUGUUUUCCUUGCGUGCAGGGAACGCAAAGGCUGAGAUAUUUUGUGCUCCGUUCCUACUAAUGACCUUAGAUGGGCCUAUUUGUUAUCUUCAGCCCAAACCCAAUGUCUUGUACUCUUUGUGGUCGCUUCUUGGGCCUGUGCAGACCCAUGCUGAGUGUUGUUUAAUUGUUGGUCCGCUUGUGGUGGGUAUUAUAGUGUGUGGUCCAUUUAAUGAAAGCCCAUAAGUGGUUAUGGUUUUGAAUGGUUUGGUGGAUUACAUCCUCUUUGGCCGUGAUAUCAUUUUCGUUGCGCAGCAAGUGCAUUCUUCUACAGACUCUCUUGGCCAUCCGGCGGAUUUGCGUUGGGUUCCUCCAGGUUUCUUACAGUUGCGGUGUGUCCAGACUGUCUUAUCUUCAGCUACUUUGUAUGUUGGAGGCGACGAAAAUGUUUGUCAGGUUUACACAGGCUUUGUCAUGCUGGUAGUUAUGACCGAUUUAUCGACAGUGGUGUCUUGUUGCUUUGCGGUAACCUUAUUUCAUGUCUUGUUGGUUUUCCUCUUUCUUUCGAUGAUAUCCGUAAGAUACUACAGGUUAUCCCCUCGGCUUGGGUUCCCUCUGUUUAUAGACAGAGGCACGAGGUGGACUAUGCUAUUGUUCAGCUUUCCCGGAGUCCUGUUAAUACGGAGUAUGGGAUCCAGUCACUUCUGGUGGAUUUUUGUAAUACCCCUAAUUUUAAAUGGAUAGUCUCGGUAUUUAUUUAUUUAUUUUUUAUUAUAUUUUUUUUAAUUGUUUAAUUGAUUAUUUGACUAAUUGUUUAUGUGUUUAAUUGAAUUAAGUGUUACUUGAUUAA
Long non-coding RNA from Cornus florida, 1527 nucleotides. RefSeq lists it as uncharacterized. The transcript has 2 exons. NCBI's taxonomy places the organism in Eukaryota, Viridiplantae, Streptophyta, Magnoliopsida, Cornales, Cornaceae. The record is from RefSeq and is a predicted model, not a curated record.